Molecule: long non-coding RNA, 214 nt
Filed under: Elaeis guineensis (African oil palm)
Lineage: Eukaryota; Viridiplantae; Streptophyta; Magnoliopsida; Arecales; Arecaceae
Description: long non-coding RNA (EGUI_LNC039039)
Source: RNAcentral
GGAUCAAGUGGUUGGUUGGUUGAAUUCAAAUUUGAUUUGAAUUCAAAUUGAAAUUCAAAUUGGAGAUUGGAUAAAAAUUUGUUCUCAUCCAAACCAACCUUGUCGCCUUCUUCUUAAACCCCUCCUCUCUUGGGCAUGCACAAGUUUUUUGAUCCAUCCUUGGCCGACCAAAAAGAGAGAAGAAUUGGAGAGAGGAAUGUGUGACUUGUAGCUU